AGUGAACGCUGGCGGUAGGCCUAACACAUGCAAGUCGAACGGCAGCACAGUAAGAGCUUGCUCUUACGGGUGGCGAGUGGCGGACGGGUGAGGAAUACAUCGGAAUCUACUUUUUCGUGGGGGAUAACGUAGGGAAACUUCCGCUAAUACCGCAUAUGACCUACGGGUGAAAGCAGGGGAUCUUCGGACCUUGCGCGAUUGAAUUAGCCGAUGUCGGAUUAGCUAGUUGGCGGGGUAAAGGCCCACCAAGGCGACGAUCCGUAGCUGGUCUGAGAGGAUGAUCAGCCACACUGGAACUGAGACACGGUCCAGACUCCUACGGGAGGCAGCAGUGGGGAAUAUUGGACAAUGGGCGCAAGCCUGAUCCAGCCACACCGCGUGAGUGAAGAAGGCCUUCGGGUUGUAAAGCCCUUUUGUUGGGAAAGAAAAGCAGCAGGUUAAUACCCCGCUGUUCUGACGGUACCCAAAGAAUAAGCACCGGCUAACUUCGUG
This 492-nucleotide ribosomal RNA is filed under the name uncultured bacterium. RNAcentral's name for it is "partial 16S ribosomal RNA". It matches the Rfam family "Bacterial small subunit ribosomal RNA", at positions 29 to 507 of the family's 1533-position model. The record is from RNAcentral.